Molecule: ribosomal RNA, 536 nt
Filed under: uncultured Mollicutes bacterium
Lineage: Bacteria; Bacillati; Mycoplasmatota; Mollicutes
Description: bacterial SSU rRNA
Rfam family: Bacterial small subunit ribosomal RNA
Source: RNAcentral
CUAAUACAUGCAAGUCGAACGAAGUCUUUANGAAGCUUGCUUCCAAAGAGACUUAGUGGCGAACGGGUGAGUAACACGUAGGUAACCUGCCCAUGUGCCCGGGAUAACUGCUGGAAACGGUAGCUAAAACCGGAUAGGUAUGAGGGAGGCAUCUUCCUCAUAUUAAAGCACCUUCGGGUGUGAACAUGGAUGGACCUGCGGCGCAUUAGCUGGUUGGUGAGGUAACGGCCCACCAAGGCGAUGAUGCGUAGCCGACCUGAGAGGGUGAACGGCCACAUUGGGACUGAGACACGGCCCAAACUCCUACGGGAGGCAGCAGUAGGGAAUUUUCGUCAAUGGGGGGAACCCUGAACGAGCAAUGCCGCGUGUGUGAAGAAGGUCUUCGGAUCGUAAAGCACUGUUGUAAGUGAAGAAUGCCAUAUAGAGGAAAUGCUAUGUGGGUGACGGUAGCUUACCAGAAAGCCACGGCUAACUACGUGCCAGCAGCCGCGGUAAUACGUAGGUGGCAAGCGUUAUCCGGAAUCAUUGGGCGUAAA